AUGUAUUCAGCAAACUGUUCAUUCUUACAGUGUUACAGAAAUUUAAACAGUCUUAAGUAUGGAAAACUUAUGAACACCCCUUUGAAAGCAUACACCUUGCCCCAGUUUCUGCUGCAACCAAAGGAGACUCCAACUCUCCAAUUCCAAUUUUGCAGGCACUUCGCAGAAUUGCUUUUUUCCACGAUAAUGAGCAAGAACGGGGUCCUGGAGCCCUCUGGUGGAUGUCUUGCAGAAGACAGGCAGCUGAAAGCUGCUUCAAACAUGAACUCAUGUACUCACUAAAACUUCAAGUGAUGCGCUCUUCAGAGGCAUGUCUCCUUUAUGAAUGGGCCUGAAGACAACUUAUGAAGUCUUUCUUUACAGUACUGAAAGAAAAGCAGUGAAAGAAGCUAAAGGUGGGCACUGUAGCAAUUGCUCUAGGUGACUGUUUGGGCUUUGCUGCCAGCAAACACUUUUUUCUGUUGCUCCUUGUACCGCAGCUGAGGGGAUGGCACCUUUUUUCUCGCUUCUGCUCAACUUCGUCUAGUUCAAGUUGCGGGAGGCUGCCGUGGCUUGCAGUUCAGCUACCUACAUGAAAUAAGUGUGCUGUUCUCAGCCUGCUUCCUGAGGCAGCCCCGUGGCUGGCAAUAAUAGUAAUUUAAUUGUUUAUUUCAGGUUCUUCUGAAGUGGGGUCAUGAAGGAGGCUUUGUCCUACUGCUGCUUUUGUUUUAUGGCAUUUUUAAGGACAGAGGAAGAUCGGGACUUGGGAUAAAGGCCUAUGACUGACCUCAGCAACCAGAGCUCCAACCUGUCCUUAAAUCCACACGGAGGAUGGUUGCCAGACACUUUCUAGUGUGAGUCUGGACUCCGCUUUCCAUCUGACAGAGCAGCAGUUUAGGAAUCAGCCCUCUCUUUGCCCUACUUACCCUGGUGCUACCUUCUAACACAGGAAAGCUGUUGGCACAAGCACCAGACUGUCACUUUUGUGCCUGAGGGAGGAAAGAGAGGAGUCCUCACCCCAUCUUCCUUUUCAGACAGUCUCCAGGAGUUUUGGAAGGAGCUUUUUACAAGCCCUCUUCUAUUGUUGGCCAGGAGACAAAGGAACGGAGGAGCUGGAUUUAAGCAUAAUGACGUGAGCUCCUCCAUGCAGAAAAACCCAGCUGAGAGACCCCCCCUGCUCCCCACACACACAAAAAAAGGAAGAAAGGGGGAGAAAAUCUUUGAAAAUAACUAAUUAAAGUUGUUUUAGCCUCUCUCUCUCCCCUCCAAGGGCGCCUAAUCUCACAGGGGGCAAAGGGGGAAGAGAGGCAGGAGGAACAAUACGAACCAUCCCCCCCUCUCUACAGCCCACCUCCUGGUCUCUGAGGUUUUAAAACAAGAGGCCACUUUAAGUUAAUGAGCUAUCAGCUGACUGGGAGAAGUCUCUAAUGAAGCCUGAUGUUCACACAUUCCCUGGCUUGCUGAAUAGGCCUCUGCCAACCCCAUAACUGUCAGAGUUUCAUUCAUAAAAUCCACAUGCUGGGGGGGUGCUGGUGAGGGGGGCAGGAAGGGAGCUGGGUGGGGAUGGGGUGGAGGUCUCCAUAUGGAGCAGUCAGCCCCAGAGGCUGGACGGACACAUGGACGGCUGGGGCUAGCAGCCUGGAGGAUCCCAGGGACCUGACUCCGCUCCCCAUUGUCUGGCUAGUAAUUAGGAGGAUCCUCCAAAUGCUUCUAGAGGAUGCUGAAGUCUCUGGGGAUAAUUAGUGAAGAUUUGGAGGCUUUUCCAGCUGUUGUGUCACCAGUUUUGCUAGGGCCAAAGGGGCAGGUGAUGGUGAGGAGCAGUGGGAUGAAGCCUAAGAGUCCUUCUGGGGCUUUGCUGUGCGGGUAGUGUUUUGCUGAGCCUCAUGUCUUCGGGCAGAGCUCUAGGAGCUGUGUGUGAACGCUUAUAGAGGAAAAACUAUAUUUCCUUUAACAUAGAAAAAAACUUGGUGAUGCUUGCCAGAGCUAAUUCUCCUUGGGUGGUGCAGGUGUUUUUGGCAAGAGUAAAGAGAAAAUAUGCAGAUACAAGAUGUACUGGGAAAUAAUAGGUUGUCUGUUAGCACUGAUGAGCUCUGAAACAAUCUACCUGUGAUGUUCUGCCUGCUGUUAUGUGGGGUGCUUAAAUCCAGGGCUCUGAAGCCAAAUCCUAGCCAGGACAAAACUACAAGGUCAAUUCUGUUCGUGCAUGGGAUGG
Molecule: long non-coding RNA, 2191 nt
Filed under: Anas zonorhyncha (Eastern spot-billed duck)
Lineage: Eukaryota; Metazoa; Chordata; Aves; Anseriformes; Anatidae
Description: lncRNA (ENSAZOG00000018617.1)
Source: RNAcentral